Molecule: ribosomal RNA, 475 nt
Filed under: uncultured bacterium
Lineage: Bacteria
Description: partial 16S ribosomal RNA
Rfam family: Bacterial small subunit ribosomal RNA
Source: RNAcentral
GAUGAACGCUAGCGGCAGGCCUAACACAUGCAAGUCGAGGGAUAAGCCUUCGGGCUAAGACCGGCGCACGGGUGCGUAACGCGUAUACAAUCUGCCUUUUAUCCGGAGGAUAGCCCGAAGAAAUUUGGAUUAAUACCCUAUGGUAUAAGAGCACGGCAUCGUGCACUUAUUAAAGCUACGGCGGUAAAAGAUGAGUAUGCGUUCUAUUAGCUAGUUGGAGAGGUAACGGCUCCCCAAGGCGACGAUAGAUAGGGGUUCUGAGAGGGAUGUCCCCCACACUGGUACUGAGAUACGGACCAGACUCCUACGGGAGGCAGCAGUGAGGAAUAUUGGACAAUGGUCGGAAGACUGAUCCAGCCAUGCCGCGUGCAGGAUGACGGCCUUAUGGGUUGUAAACUGCUUUUGUAAGGGAAGAAUAAGGAGUACGUGUACUUUGAUGACGGUACCUUACGAAUAAGCAUCGGCUAACUCCGUG